GAAUUGUGGUACCGAGCUUCCGGGGGAAAGAAGAGAGGUAAAGUAUAUGGGUUAAGCAAUCUUAAGAAUGAUUUUAACGUUCAGCAUCAUGGCAAACAAGACCAAGAGAUCGAAAGGUUGAACGUGAUUAUUGCGGGAUUGGUGGUGGAAAAAGAGAAAGAUAAGGCGGAGAAAGAGGCUAUGAAUGAAAGGAUAGCAAACAUUGAAGCGAUGCUAAAAGCUAGGUUUCAAAACGUAUA
This 239-nucleotide long non-coding RNA is filed under the name Helianthus annuus (common sunflower). RNAcentral describes it as "sRNA HanXRQr2_Chr01g0011961". Lineage: Eukaryota; Viridiplantae; Streptophyta; Magnoliopsida; Asterales; Asteraceae. The record is from RNAcentral.